Molecule: ribosomal RNA, 2924 nt
Filed under: Escherichia coli
Lineage: Bacteria; Pseudomonadati; Pseudomonadota; Gammaproteobacteria; Enterobacterales; Enterobacteriaceae
Description: bacterial LSU rRNA
Rfam family: Bacterial large subunit ribosomal RNA
Source: RNAcentral
GGGUUGUGAGGUUAAGCGACUAAGCGUACACGGUGGAUGCCCUGGCAGUCAGAGGCGAUGAAGGACGUGCUAAUCUGCGAUAAGCGUCGGUAAGGUGAUAUGAACCGUUAUAACCGGCGAUUUCCGAAUGGGGAAACCCAGUGUGUUUCGACACACUAUCAUUAACUGAAUCCAUAGGUUAAUGAGGCGAACCGGGGGAACUGAAACAUCUAAGUACCCCGAGGAAAAGAAAUCAACCGAGAUUCCCCCAGUAGCGGCGAGCGAACGGGGAGCAGCCCAGAGCCUGAAUCAGUGUGUGUGUUAGUGGAAGCGUCUGGAAAGGCGCGCGAUACAGGGUGACAGCCCCGUACACAAAAAUGCACAUGCUGUGAGCUCGAUGAGUAGGGCGGGACACGUGGUAUCCUGUCUGAAUAUGGGGGGACCAUCCUCCAAGGCUAAAUACUCCUGACUGACCGAUAGUGAACCAGUACCGUGAGGGAAAGGCGAAAAGAACCCCGGCGAGGGGAGUGAAAAAGAACCUGAAACCGUGUACGUACAAGCAGUGGGAGCACGCUUAGGCGUGUGACUGCGUACCUUUUGUAUAAUGGGUCAGCGACUUAUAUUCUGUAGCAAGGUUAACCGAAUAGGGGAGCCGAAGGGAAACCGAGUCUUAACUGGGCGUUAAGUUGCAGGGUAUAGACCCGAAACCCGGUGAUCUAGCCAUGGGCAGGUUGAAGGUUGGGUAACACUAACUGGAGGACCGAACCGACUAAUGUUGAAAAAUUAGCGGAUGACUUGUGGCUGGGGGUGAAAGGCCAAUCAAACCGGGAGAUAGCUGGUUCUCCCCGAAAGCUAUUUAGGUAGCGCCUCGUGAAUUCAUCUCCGGGGGUAGAGCACUGUUUCGGCAAGGGGGUCAUCCCGACUUACCAACCCGAUGCAAACUGCGAAUACCGGAGAAUGUUAUCACGGGAGACACACGGCGGGUGCUAACGUCCGUCGUGAAGAGGGAAACAACCCAGACCGCCAGCUAAGGUCCCAAAGUCAUGGUUAAGUGGGAAACGAUGUGGGAAGGCCCAGACAGCCAGGAUGUUGGCUUAGAAGCAGCCAUCAUUUAAAGAAAGCGUAAUAGCUCACUGGUCGAGUCGGCCUGCGCGGAAGAUGUAACGGGGCUAAACCAUGCACCGAAGCUGCGGCAGCGACACUAUGUGUUGUUGGGUAGGGGAGCGUUCUGUAAGCCUGCGAAGGUGUGCUGUGAGGCAUGCUGGAGGUAUCAGAAGUGCGAAUGCUGACAUAAGUAACGAUAAAGCGGGUGAAAAGCCCGCUCGCCGGAAGACCAAGGGUUCCUGUCCAACGUUAAUCGGGGCAGGGUGAGUCGACCCCUAAGGCGAGGCCGAAAGGCGUAGUCGAUGGGAAACAGGUUAAUAUUCCUGUACUUGGUGUUACUGCGAAGGGGGGACGGAGAAGGCUAUGUUGGCCGGGCGACGGUUGUCCCGGUUUAAGCGUGUAGGCUGGUUUUCCAGGCAAAUCCGGAAAAUCAAGGCUGAGGCGUGAUGACGAGGCACUACGGUGCUGAAGCAACAAAUGCCCUGCUUCCAGGAAAAGCCUCUAAGCAUCAGGUAACAUCAAAUCGUACCCCAAACCGACACAGGUGGUCAGGUAGAGAAUACCAAGGCGCUUGAGAGAACUCGGGUGAAGGAACUAGGCAAAAUGGUGCCGUAACUUCGGGAGAAGGCACGCUGAUAUGUAGGUGAAGCGACUUGCUCGUGGAGCUGAAAUCAGUCGAAGAUACCAGCUGGCUGCAACUGUUUAUUAAAAACACAGCACUGUGCAAACACGAAAGUGGACGUAUACGGUGUGACGCCUGCCCGGUGCCGGAAGGUUAAUUGAUGGGGUCAGCGCAAGCGAAGCUCUUGAUCGAAGCCCCGGUAAACGGCGGCCGUAACUAUAACGGUCCUAAGGUAGCGAAAUUCCUUGUCGGGUAAGUUCCGACCUGCACGAAUGGCGUAAUGAUGGCCAGGCUGUCUCCACCCGAGACUCAGUGAAAUUGAACUCGCUGUGAAGAUGCAGUGUACCCGCGGCAAGACGGAAAGACCCCGUGAACCUUUACUAUAGCUUGACACUGAACAUUGAGCCUUGAUGUGUAGGAUAGGUGGGAGGCUUUGAAGUGUGGACGCCAGUCUGCAUGGAGCCGACCUUGAAAUACCACCCUUUAAUGUUUGAUGUUCUAACGUGGACCCGUGAUCCGGGUUGCGGACAGUGUCUGGUGGGUAGUUUGACUGGGGCGGUCUCCUCCUAAAGAGUAACGGAGGAGCACGAAGGUUGGCUAAUCCUGGUCGGACAUCAGGAGGUUAGUGCAAUGGCAUAAGCCAGCUUGACUGCGAGCGUGACGGCGCGAGCAGGUGCGAAAGCAGGUCAUAGUGAUCCGGUGGUUCUGAAUGGAAGGGCCAUCGCUCAACGGAUAAAAGGUACUCCGGGGAUAACAGGCUGAUACCGCCCAAGAGUUCAUAUCGACGGCGGUGUUUGGCACCUCGAUGUCGGCUCAUCACAUCCUGGGGCUGAAGUAGGUCCCAAGGGUAUGGCUGUUCGCCAUUUAAAGUGGUACGCGAGCUGGGUUUAGAACGUCGUGAGACAGUUCGGUCCCUAUCUGCCGUGGGCGCUGGAGAACUGAGGGGGGCUGCUCCUAGUACGAGAGGACCGGAGUGGACGCAUCACUGGUGUUCGGGUUGUCAUGCCAAUGGCACUGCCCGGUAGCUAAAUGCGGAAGAGAUAAGUGCUGAAAGCAUCUAAGCACGAAACUUGCCCCGAGAUGAGUUCUCCCUGACUCCUUGAGAGUCCUGAAGGAACGUUGAAGACGACGACGUUGAUAGGCCAGGUGUGUAAGCGCAGCGAUGCGUUGAGCUAACCGGUACUAAUGAACCGUGAGGCUUAACCUUACAACGCCGAAG